CCUACGGGGGACAGCAGUGAGGAAUAUUGGUCAAUGGGCGAGAGCCUGAACCAGCCAAGUCGCGUGAAGGAUGACGGCCCUACGGGUUGUAAACUUCUUUUGUCAGGGAGCAAUUGGGUCCACGCGUGGGCUUAGCGAGAGUACCUGAAGAAAAAGCAUCGGCUAACUCCGUGCCAGCAGCCGCGGUAAUACGGAGGAUCCGAGCGUUAUCCGGAUUUAUUGGGUUUAAAGGGUGCGUAGGCGGCCUUUAAGUCAGCGGUGAAAGUCUGUGGCUCAACCAUAGAAUUGCCGUUGAAACUGGGAGGCUUGAGUAUGUUUGAGGCAGGCGGAAUGCGUGGUGUAGCGGUGAAAUGCAUAGAUAUCACGCAGAACUCCGAUUGCGAAGGCAGCAUACCGGCGCUCAACUGACGCUCAUGCACGAAAGUGUGGGUAUCGAACAGGAUUAGAUACCCGAGUAGUC
This 460-nucleotide ribosomal RNA is filed under the name uncultured bacterium. RNAcentral's name for it is "partial 16S ribosomal RNA". It matches the Rfam family "Bacterial small subunit ribosomal RNA", at positions 338 to 795 of the family's 1533-position model. The record is from RNAcentral.